This 2866-nucleotide long non-coding RNA is filed under the name Spirodela polyrhiza (greater duckweed). RNAcentral describes it as "long non-coding RNA (SPOL_LNC000935)". The record is from RNAcentral. Lineage: Eukaryota; Viridiplantae; Streptophyta; Magnoliopsida; Alismatales; Araceae.
AGAGAGAGAGAGAGAGAGAGAGAGAGAGAGAGAGAGAAAUCCCGUGGAAGACGACGCAGGGGCACCGGAGAUCCGCUUUAUAAUUCUCGCCGGGGGAAGGCAGCGGCGAAGCAGGAGGCCCGGCGAGUCCGAUGUCGUCGACUUCUUGCGAGCUUUGACUGCUCCUUCCGGAGGGACCUCUUGGGCCUCGCCCCCGUCUCGACAGAUCCACUGUUAUUUUCCAUCCGACGACCGCUGCAGUGCGGUGGAGGUGGAGUACAGUAUGUUCGUCUUUUGAUUAGAUCCCUUCUGAAAUCUCUCGUUUCCUUUCGGGUUUCUGCCCGAUCCGGUCGGUGGAACAAUUCCGGCGAGGUCUGAGCUCGCUCGCCGUCCGCUCGCCCUCGUCUGCGAUUGCGGCGGCUAAUGGAGGUGGAGCCGCCGGGUCUCCUGAGGUACCUCGUUGGAGCUGUGAUUAUGGUGGUGGGAGUGGUGCUCCCGCUCGGCUACAUGAUGUUUCGCAACAAGCGCUCCCCGUCGUCGAGUUCUUAUUUCUCCAAGCAGACGUAGGUGAUUUCCUCUCCCUUUAUUUUCCGUCGCCUCGCCCUUGUGACAUUAUUCCUGAUCCCUUAUUUUUGGUCCUAUGUUCAUCUUAUGCAGGAACAGAGUAGUGAUCUAGAGGGAGCGGGACAACCUUUUAUCUGCGCCGUCAAGUCUCCUCUGCCUUCAAUUGUGUGAGAUUUUUGCUAUAUUUGGCCGGAGAAGGAAGCAGAGGGGGUUUGAAGAAGAAUCAAUCGGUUGUUACAUGAAGCCGUUCAUAAUUUUUGCUUUCCAUAUGCAUAUAUAGAGGAGUUGCUGGGAAAUUGCUUCAUGAUUCGGCUUCAGACCUCCUCCCUCCCUCUAUUUUCUCAAGAAAAUUGCUCUAGAUCGUGGCAAAACAUUUGGAAAUAACUGCUAUUCGGCAAUUCAUCUGAUCUCUCUUUUGCUCUCUGCGUAUUACUACUACACUGUUCUUUCUGAGAUUAUUCUCUACAACACAUAAAUGGUUGACCAAACCGGAGAUUGGACCAUCAUUGUCAUAUUAUUUGCAGUCUGUGCUGAGGCCUUUGUUCGUCCAUUCAGGGUCUUGAUUGUGCCCUCUUUCGCUCUGGUUGGGACACAUCCAUGAUGAUUUAAGUCAACUUUGCUAUUUCCUUUAUGAUCCCGGAUUCGUUUUUUAAUGGAACCCCUUUUUCUACAGUCACUAGAAAAAGAGUGGCUGCCCCAUCUACCCCGAAUUAGCCCAUUACCCAUUAUUUUCAUCAAAAAAUAGUGUGAAUUUCUUAUUAGUUUCCUAUGUUUCUUCAUAAAAUAAGCAACUCACCUUUGAAUGGGCGAGCGGCUGAAAUUUCCUCUUGGCCAGGACUUUGUCUAUGAUAUAAUGGGUCGUUUUAUCAACUUUAGAUAGGUUAGAGAUGCUCAACCCCUCCCCUUAGAGUGCUUAGUAAUGGAGAUCAUGAGAGGCAUAUACUUGCCAUUCACUAACAUACUCUAAUAUAAUGGGUUCUGUUAGUGUUGAAAGAGCGCAGGGGAAGUCGUCAGAUGAUGAGAUUAAGGGGGAAAAUAAAUUCAUGUGCCCGAUAUUUCAGUUGGAGAUGGCAGCUUAUUUUAUGUUUUACGCUGUUUAAGUGAUAUAAUUAGGAUUGGCUUUGGAUUGAGAUUUGGCACCUAAUGAGAAGCCAUUGGCGUCAUAUAAUCACUAAUAUCAUGGAGCUUCAGCUCUUCCAGGAUCUUUCUUUUUUAAAAAAUAAGAUUAAUUUCAACUUUAUCCCAGAAAUGAUCUGUUUAUGAUCAUGGAUCGCAUGGCCUCUGUUUCUCUGUGUCCGUAUGUUUCAGAUCAAUCAUUAGGAAUACUGUUGAUUCAUUCUGUGCAGAUUUCCGUGUACUUUGGUUCAUCAUCAAUGAUCUUGCUCAUCUGGUACCCAUACAAGGAAAAUUUUAAAAAAUCACUGAACUGUUCAUCAAUGGGUUUUUAGAUGAAUCCUGUGAAUUCCUGCGAAAUCUAUCAAGCGCAAGGAAGAGGCUUGGAAGCUAAAACUGAUCAAACUCUCUGGUCCUGACUGGUUUCAGUGAUCUUUGGCCAUAUCAAUUAGUUGGCGUACAAAAAUAAAUGACUCCCAUGAGAAACCACCAUUUUUUCUGAUAUCUGAAAGAUAUUUUUUUUUUCUAUUACAGCCAGCUGAUGGGGAAUAAGACUAAUUGAAGCAAAUGGAUCUUGUUGAUGUAGAAAUUUUUGCUAGAAAGUCAACAAACCUUGUGGUCUGGAUAUGGCCUUUCUCCCCGGUGGAGUGAAAAUAAUGUGAAUCUCUCUGAUCCUUCAUUAAUUUUCUUCUUCAUUUUGUAUGGUAACAAUUAGCUCCAGCCUUUGUUUGACGGCUUAUUACACAAGUAGAUAGAUAGAUAGAUAUAUAAUCCAUAUAUAUAUGGAGGGGCCGGGGUCCAUUUUUUAGGCUCUUCUUGGGCCCGGGCUGAAUCCACGUCGUAAGGAAGGCAAGGUGGUGGGACGAGACUUGGCGAGUCUCAUUUAUUGGUCCCAUUUAAUGAGAUCCUUAUGGAUGAGGCUCUACAUUGUCACAUUUAAUAUGGAUUUUAUUGGCUUUUCUUUCGCCCCAAAUUAAUAAAAAAAAUCAUGUGAUUCAUGUAGAUUGUAUGACGCAAACCUAAGAAAAGCCCAAAAAUGGUGGGUUAGCCCGUUCUGAAAAGGCCCAAAAAUAGAUUAACCUCAAAUAAAUUCAGUCUUAGGUUUUUUAUUAACGAUCGUGUUUAAUAUAUUUUUAAUUUUAUUCUUAAAAAUAAUAUUUCGUGGUGUCUACUUAUUUUGAAUUAAUUUUAUUUUUUUGGGCCCCGAGCC